CCAUGUAGAAGUUAGAGUCUAAAGCCUUGUCUGAUCUCAGAAGCUAAACAGGUUUGAGCUUGGUUUGGAUUUGGAUGGGAGACCGCUGGGAAUAGCAGGUUCCACAGUGA
RNAcentral lists this ribosomal RNA (110 nucleotides) under Periophthalmus magnuspinnatus. The record is from RNAcentral. Lineage: Eukaryota; Metazoa; Chordata; Actinopteri; Gobiiformes; Gobiidae.